RNAcentral lists this ribosomal RNA (481 nucleotides) under uncultured bacterium. Its description in RNAcentral is "bacterial SSU rRNA". It matches the Rfam family "Bacterial small subunit ribosomal RNA", at positions 501 to 985 of the family's 1533-position model. The record is from RNAcentral.
CUACGUGCCAGCAGCCGCGGUAAUACGGAAGGUCCAGGCGUUAUCCGGAUUUAUUGGGUUUAAAGGGAGCGUAGGCUGGAGAUUAAGUGUGUUGUGAAAUGUAGACGCUCAACGUCUGAAUUGCAGCGCAUACUGGUUUCCUUGAGUACGCACAACGUUGGCGGAAUUCGUCGUGUAGCGGUGAAAUGCUUAGAUAUGACGAAGAACUCCGAUUGCGAAGGCAGCUGACGGGAGUGCAACUGACGCUUAAGCUCGAAGGUGCGGGUAUCAAACAGGAUUAGAUACCCUGGUAGUCCGCACAGUAAACGAUGGAUGCCCGCUGUUGGUACCUGGUAUCAGCGGCUAAGCGAAAGCAUUAAGCAUCCCACCUGGGGAGUACGCCGGCAACGGUGAAACUCAAAGGAAUUGACGGGGGCCCGCACAAGCGGAGGAACAUGUGGUUUAAUUCGAUGAUACGCGAGGAACCUUACCCGGGCUUGAA